This 516-nucleotide ribosomal RNA is filed under the name uncultured bacterium. Its description in RNAcentral is "partial 16S ribosomal RNA". It matches the Rfam family "Bacterial small subunit ribosomal RNA", at positions 28 to 523 of the family's 1533-position model. The record is from RNAcentral.
GAUGAACGCUGGCGGCGUGCCUAAUACAUGCAAGUCGAACGCAUUGAGAGAAGUGCUUGCACUUUUCAAUUUGAGUGGCGAACGGGUGAGUAACACGUGGGCAACCUACCUGAUAGCGGGGGAUAACGAGUGGAAACAUUCGCUAAUACCGCAUAACAAUAGAGAAGGCAUCUUCUUUAUUUAAAAGGCGCUUUCAAGCGUCACUAUCAGAUGGGCCCGCGGUGCAUUAGUUAGUUGGUGGGGUGAAGGCCUACCAAGACGAUGAUGCAUAGCCGAGUUGAGAGACUGAUCGGCCACAUUGGGACUGAGACACGGCCCAAACUACUACGGGAGGCUGCAGUAGGGAAUCUUCCGCAAUGGACGAAAGUCUGAUGGAGCAACGCCGCGUGUGUGAUGAAGGCUUUCGGGUCGUAAAGCACUGUUGUAUGGGAAGAAAUGCUAGGCUAGGAAAUGAGCUUAGUUUGACGGUACCAUACCAGAAAGGGACGGCUAAAUACGUGCCAGCCGCCGCGGUAA